UGCCAGCCGCCGCGGUAAUACGUAGGGACCAAGCGUUGUUCGGAUUUACUGGGCGUAAAGGGUACGUAGGCGGCGUUACAAGUCACUUGUGAAAUCUCCGGGCUUAACUCGGAACGGCCAAGUGAUACUGUAGUGCUAGAGUGCAGAAUGGGCAAGUGGAAUUCUUGGUGUAGCGGUGAAAUGCGUAGAUAUCAAGAGGAACACCUGAGGCGAAGGCGACUUGCUGGGCUGACACUGACGCUGAGACGCGAAAGCGUGGGGAGCAAACAGGAUUAGAUA
This 279-nucleotide ribosomal RNA is filed under the name uncultured bacterium. RNAcentral describes it as "partial 16S ribosomal RNA". It matches the Rfam family "Bacterial small subunit ribosomal RNA", at positions 506 to 784 of the family's 1533-position model. The record is from RNAcentral.